Molecule: long non-coding RNA, 392 nt
Filed under: Pan troglodytes (chimpanzee)
Lineage: Eukaryota; Metazoa; Chordata; Mammalia; Primates; Hominidae
Description: lincRNA
Source: RNAcentral
GUGGUGGCUCAGUGUUCACUCUGAAAAAUGAAAAAUUGCCCAUUUUUGUGAAAAAGUUCUACUGAUAUGUGAAGGCUGAGUUCUAUUGGAACCAAGUCAUGACACCAGAAGGGAAGAGAAGUCAUUCAUCAUGAGGUGGAAAUAUCUCGCUCUGUGGUCCAAGCUGGAGUGCAGUGGCGGGAUCUCACUCACUUCAACCUCCACCUCCCAAGUUCAAGCAAAUCUCCUGCCUCAGCCUCAUGAGUAGCUGGGAUUACAGGCAUCCACCACCACAGAUGGCUAAUUUUUUCUUUGUAUACUUUUAUUUAAUUCGGCUUAGGUUACUUGUUUAUUAGUAGUAGUUUUGCAUCUAUGGGAUUGUUGUAUAAAAUAAAUGGUUUAAAUAUGUAGGA